This 610-nucleotide ribosomal RNA is filed under the name uncultured Gram-positive bacterium. RNAcentral's name for it is "bacterial SSU rRNA". It matches the Rfam family "Bacterial small subunit ribosomal RNA", at positions 1 to 629 of the family's 1533-position model. The record is from RNAcentral.
UGAGUUUGAUCCUGGCUCAGGACGAACGCUGGCGGCGUGCCUAACACAUGCAAGUCGUGCGAGAAGUCUCAGAAAUUAUGGGACGGAAAGCGGCGGACGGGUGAGUAACGCGUGGGCAACCUGCCCCGUACAGGGGGACAACACCGGGAAACUGGUGCUAAUACCGCAUAAGGCACAUAGGUGGCAUCACAUAAGUGCCAAAGGAGAAAUCCGGUACAGGAAGGGCCCGCGUCCAAUUAGCUGGUUGGCGGGGUAAAGGCCCACCAAGGCGACGAUUGGUAGCCGGACUGAGAGGUCGGACGGCCACAUUGGGACUGAGACACGGCCCAGACUCCUACGGGAGGCAGCAGUGGGGAAUAUUGCGCAAUGGGGGAGACCCUGACGCAGCAACGCCGCGUGAAGGAAGAAGGUUUUCGGAUCGUAAACUUCUUUGGUUGGGGAAGAAGGAAGUGACGGUACCCAAAAAACAAGCCACGGCUAACUACGUGCCAGCAGCCGCGGUAAUACGUAGGUGGCAAGCGUUGUCCGGAAUUACUGGGUGUAAAGGGCGUGUAGGCGGGGCUGCAAGUCAGGUGUGAAAGCCCGGGGCUCAACCGCGGGAGUGCACCUG